GCUUAGCCCUAAACUAAAAUAGCUCACCACAACAAAGCUAUUCGCCAGAGUACUACUAGCAACAGCCUAAAACUCAAAGGACUU
Molecule: ribosomal RNA, 84 nt
Filed under: Chordata environmental sample
Lineage: Eukaryota; Metazoa; Chordata
Description: partial 12S ribosomal RNA
Source: RNAcentral